AACAAAACUGUCAUCAUAGAAAUAAGGAGUCUAUGAUGUAACUAGUUCACAUUAGAUAAGUGCCCUUGUGCAGUGUGAAACUUGAACAACCAUACAUGACAGCCUUGUCCCAACCCCUUGGAGAAAAUAAGUCUGUUAGUACCUGAGCUUUUCCAGCAUUCAUGACAGGUGAGCUACAUUUGACAUCUUUUUUGUGGCAUGAUUUUGCAGGACUAAAAAAAAGAAUUCUUGGCAGUGUUCAGCUCUGGAAGUUGUGGCUAUGUUAUUCUGCCUUGGAAACACAAAGUCCGUAAGCUGGCAAGCUUUUCUGUAAUCAUUGUAACCUGAAAGAAUUUGAAUUUUCAAACUUUGUUUUGAAGGGAACUCUUUUCCUUCCCUUUUUCUAUUUGUGAACAAAUUAGAGGAAGUUUGGAGUAGAGGAAAAUUCUGCUCUUCGCUUGGGUGUGUCCUAGAGUCCAAGGUUCAGUCACUGGCUCUUCUGCAUAAACUCCGCCAUUCAUCUGGCAUUCCCUUCAUUUCAGGUCUGGGUGUGAGCAGGCAGAACCUUCAAGAGGACCCCUCCUGGCGAGGGUCCUGCUUCGGAGAAAGCAAAUCUGAUCUGAGGAGAGCUGCCAGACCAGUCUGCCUCUAAAAACAAUCAUUCAAUUCCCAAGUGUUUACCAUGUACAUCUUGUCAGCGGAAUUAUAGGAAAUACAAAUACAGAUAAGAUCCCAGUU
RNAcentral lists this long non-coding RNA (717 nucleotides) under Capra hircus (goat). Its description in RNAcentral is "lncRNA (ENSCHIG00010018193.1)". The record is from RNAcentral. Lineage: Eukaryota; Metazoa; Chordata; Mammalia; Artiodactyla; Bovidae.